Molecule: ribosomal RNA, 472 nt
Filed under: uncultured bacterium
Lineage: Bacteria
Description: bacterial SSU rRNA
Rfam family: Bacterial small subunit ribosomal RNA
Source: RNAcentral
ACUCCUACGGGAGGCAGCAGUGGGGAAUAUUGCACAAUGGGGGAAACCCUGAUGCAGCCAUGCCGCGUGUGUGAAGAAGGCCUUCGGUUGUAAAGCACUUUCAGUAGGGAGGAAGGUAGUGUAGUUAACACCUGCAUUAUUUGACGUUACCUACAGAAGAAGCACCGGCUAACUCCGUGCCAGCAGCCGCGGUAAUACGGAGGGGUGCGAGCGUUAAUCGGAAUUACUGGGCGUAAAGCGCAUGCAGGCGGCCUGUUAAGUCAGAUGUGAAAGCCCGGGGGCUUAACCUCGGAAUUGCAUUUGAAACUGGCAGGCUAGAGUCUUGUAGAGGGGGUAGAAUUUCAGGUGUAGCGGUGAAAUGCGUAGAGAUCUGAAGGAAUACCAGUGGCGAAGGCGGCCCCCUGGACAAAGACUGACGCUCAGAUGCGAAAGCGUGGGAGCAAACAGGAUUAGAUACCCUGGUAGACUGUCA